GAUGAGAAGGGAAAGGAGAGACUGAAAGCAAGGUACUGGGAGUAGAAGAUGCUCACCUGUUGGGACAGAACCGUUGAUCACAUGCUUAGUGUCCAUGGCCACCUUCCACCCUGGUAUCGGGAUCCGACACUGUGACUGGUCCUAGGCAGCAAGCACACCAUGACUGGCUGACUGAUCCUGAACAUGUUUUCUCCUUUGUAAAACACUAUUGUCUGGCCUCUUUUAACGCUAAUGGAGAUGAGGGCACCCAGCAAGUAUCAGGGCGAAGCUGGCUGGUGAGCGGAGAAGUUUUCUUUUCAGAGAGGAGAAACAGAAGUCUUUCACUGUUUCUUUAUUGAAGCUGUGAUUCUGGGAUCUCCAGGACCCAUCUUGUAAUAACAAGGUGACAGCAAGGAGGAUGAAAGAAAACCUUACUAAAGACAAAGCAGUUAAAAGACAAAAGAGUAGAUGUCCCUGAGGACAUCAGUUAAGAAUAUCAGUCUACACUAUUGUUGAUAGAUGGUGAGAAAAACCCAAUAUUGGUCUCAGACACUAUCAAACAAUUUUCUCUUUCUUCCAGCCCAAAGUGUCCCUGACUGAUUAGGCUAAAGUACUGAGAAAUAUAACUUCUUGUUCCAUUUCCAAGAAGCACAGCCUGGCUGAUUCCUUUUACAAAGUUGGAUUCACAGUGCUUACAGUAAAGGGGCCCAGAAGAACCUCUUUCACUCAGUAGGAGGCUAAGGAAGUGCCACAUGGAGUCUAGCCAAGUUCCAGUGACCAAGGCCCACUUGAGAUAAUGACUCAUCACAUUUCUGGAAAUCACAGCCUGCCACCCAAAACCAGACAGCUUGUCCAUUGCUCUGUUGGGUCAGUGUGAAUGCAGCAUUCUUAACUGUCUGUUCAGAGUCCUGGAGGUGACUACAAGAGCUAAAGUCCACCAGCUGGAACCUGUGUGACCUCAGGCACCCGGGAAGUUUGGGCUCACCUUCUAAGAGAUGAGUCCUCUAUCAUUUCAGAUUUCAAAAUGGGUGUUGAUGCUGGAGCUGAUGUCACAAACACGAGAGCCUCUGCCACAGAGGCCACAGGUUUCUGUGCAGGUGACAGAAGGACUACUUGCUAAGGAUGCCUUAGGAGUGACCAACGGCUCAUCCAGAAGAUGGUCUGGAGCUCUGCCGACCUGUACGGAUGGGUGGACCAUUCCUCUCAGUGUGUCUCAAACCUGUGUGCACCCACCGCCAGGACCUUGGAGCUGUGCACAGGCUCCUGUAACUGUUUUUGUCCAGGCAGGAGUGUGAAGUGACUCAUUUCCAACACACAUCCAGCCCAUAUUGGUGCUGCUGAUUCCAGGACCACCCCCUGGGAGCCCUUUCCAACCUUGGACCAGCAGGAAUCUCCAGAGAGCUAUAUGCUUUCAAGUCCCC
RNAcentral lists this long non-coding RNA (1400 nucleotides) under Fukomys damarensis (Damara mole-rat). RNAcentral's name for it is "lncRNA (ENSFDAG00000030258.1)". The record is from RNAcentral. Lineage: Eukaryota; Metazoa; Chordata; Mammalia; Rodentia; Bathyergidae.